ACCGGUGCAGGCGCAUUUAAACGCAUUCUUUAACAAUAUAAGUGAUUCGAUUUAUUGCGCAGUUCUGAGGAAACAAAUUCCUUCAAUCUCGUCAUUUGGGAGAUUCUACGGCGACUGGAUAAAGAUCACAACUAUCGAAGAAUUGAGAAAACAAACAUUGAAGCAAGUAAAUGAAAAACUGAUCAUACGAACAGACGACGGAGGGAUAAGACAUCGACGGACGGGGCGAGGGGCUGCGUCGGCGUCACACGUCCUUCAGUACUACCGGUGAAAUUGUUAAAUGUUUCAUUCAUAUAAAUCUUGUACGUAU
Non-coding RNA from Spodoptera litura, 310 nucleotides. NCBI's taxonomy places the organism in Eukaryota, Metazoa, Arthropoda, Insecta, Lepidoptera, Noctuidae. The record is from RefSeq and is a predicted model, not a curated record.